This 420-nucleotide ribosomal RNA is filed under the name uncultured bacterium. RNAcentral's name for it is "bacterial SSU rRNA". It matches the Rfam family "Bacterial small subunit ribosomal RNA", at positions 356 to 773 of the family's 1533-position model. The record is from RNAcentral.
GAGGAAUAUUGGUCAAUGGACGCAAGUCUGAACCAGCCAUGCCGCGUGCAGGAUGACGGCCCUAUGGGUUGUAAACUGCUUUUAUUUGGGAAGAAACCUUUGCUCGUGAGCGAAGCUGACGGUACUAAAUGAAUAAGCAUCGGCUAACUCCGUGCCAGCAGCCGCGGUAAUACGGAGGAUGCAAGCGUUAUCCGGAUUUAUUGGGUUUAAAGGGUGCGUAGGCGGGAAAAUAAGUCAGUGGUGAAAUCCUGCAGCUUAACUGUAGAACUGCCAUUGAUACUGUUUUUCUUGAGUACAUUUGAAGUGGACGGAAUGUGUUGUGUAGCGGUGAAAUGCAUAGAUAUGACACAGAACACCGAUUGCGAAAGCAGUUCACUAAACUGUCACUGACGCUGAGGCACGAAAGCGUGGGUAGCAAAC